Molecule: long non-coding RNA, 202 nt
Organism: Hydra vulgaris (swiftwater hydra)
Lineage: Eukaryota; Metazoa; Cnidaria; Hydrozoa; Anthoathecata; Hydridae
Source: RefSeq, a predicted model, not a curated record
GGUUUGGUGUUUGAAUCAUUAUACAAGCAUGUCUAAUAUUUAUUUCUCGUUUAGAUCCAACCAGGCUUUUUGUUGAUUUUUUAAGAUUUCUUGAAUCUACACAGCCUACCACUGUUACAUCUUUGUCUUCAACGAAUGGGAAGUUUAACAACUAUUAUUUUUUAAUAUGUGUAUAUAUUUUUGAUGACUGCAAUAUAUAAUU